GAUGAACGCUAGCUACAGGCUUAACACAUGCAAGUCGAGGGGCAGCAUGAAAGGAACUUCGGUUCUUUUUGAUGGCGACCGGCGCACGGGUGCGUAACGCGUAUCGAACCUGCCUCAUACUCGGGGAUAGCCUUGCGAAAGUAAGAUUAAUACCCGGCGGUCUCGGCUGGCCGCAUGACUGUCCGAGUGACGAUUUAUCGGUGUGAGAGGGCGAUGCGUCCCAUUAGCUAGUUGGUGAGGUAACGGCUCACCAAGGCAUCGAUGGGUAGGGGUUCUGAGAGGAAGGUCCCCCACAUUGGAACUGAGACACGGUCCAAACUCCUACGGGAGGCAGCAGUGAGGAAUAUUGGUCAAUGGACGAAAGUCUGAACCAGCCAAGUAGCGUGCAGGACGACGGCCCUCUGGGUUGUAAACUGCUUUUAGUUGGGAAUAAAAAGAGGGACGUGUCCCUUAUUGUAUGUACCAUCAGAAAAAGGACCGGCUAAUUCCGUGCCAGCAGCCGCGGUAA
RNAcentral lists this ribosomal RNA (508 nucleotides) under uncultured bacterium. Its description in RNAcentral is "partial 16S ribosomal RNA". It matches the Rfam family "Bacterial small subunit ribosomal RNA", at positions 28 to 523 of the family's 1533-position model. The record is from RNAcentral.